AAAACUUAAAAUUAAAAAAAAAACAUGAGUGGAGUGCAUCCUCGAGGGUUUAGAGAGAGAGAGGCUGCUCAUUCUCUCUAGAAUUUCCCCCCUCACCAUCUGCCAUCACCUCCUCCUCCACUUACUCAUCCGACACCUCCACCACAGAACUCUCUUUAUUGUAACUUUUUCAUCUACCACAACAACUGCCCUAACAAACUCCACCACCACCACCAUAAAUACACCGCCCAUGCCUCUUUUUCUUCCUCAAUCGCUAACGACACUACUUCCGAACGAUACUCCCCCAAAACCCUAAACUUCACCACGAUUCUAUUUAUAGUUCUAGUAGCUUCACCCGUCAUUUCAAUACUCGAGCCGAGUCUAACAAUGGCCCCGAGCCUCGCCAGUAUGAUUUUGACCUCUUCACAAUCGGCGCUGGCAGCGGCGGUGUUAGGGCUGAUGGAAAUAAUCAACUACGAGUUUGACCUCUUCACAAUCGACGCUGGCAGCGGCGGUGUUAGGGCUGAUGGAAAUAAUCAACUACGAGUUUGGUGUCUGGGGCAUCAGUCAUCUCUACUCUGGACCUGUUUAGAGUCGCUUAAAGG
Molecule: long non-coding RNA, 584 nt
Filed under: Panax ginseng (ginseng)
Lineage: Eukaryota; Viridiplantae; Streptophyta; Magnoliopsida; Apiales; Araliaceae
Description: long non-coding RNA (PGIN_LNC011845)
Source: RNAcentral